CCUACGGGGGGCAGCAGUGGGGAAUAUUGCACAAUGGGGGAAACCCUGAUGCAGCGACGCCGCGUGAGUGAAGAAGUAUUUCGGUAUGUAAAGCUCUAUCAGCAGGGAAGAAGAAAGACGGUACCUGACUAAGAAGCCCCGGCUAACUACGUGCCAGCAGCCGCGGUAAUACGUAGGGGGCAAGCGUUAUCCGGAUUUACUGGGUGUAAAGGGAGCGUAGACGGCUGUGCAAGUCUGAAGUGAAAGCCCAGGGCGCAACCCUGGGACUGCUUUGGAAACUGUGGAGCUAGAGUGCUGGAGAGGUAAGUGGAAUUCCUAGUGUAGCGGUGAAAUGCGUAGAUAUUAGGAGGAACACCAGUGGCGAAGGCGGCCGCCUGGCCUGUUGCUGACGCUGAGGCACGAAAGCGUGGGGAGCAAAUAGGAUUAGAUACCCGGGUAGUC
This 441-nucleotide ribosomal RNA is filed under the name uncultured bacterium. RNAcentral describes it as "partial 16S ribosomal RNA". It matches the Rfam family "Bacterial small subunit ribosomal RNA", at positions 338 to 795 of the family's 1533-position model. The record is from RNAcentral.